UCUUUGAGAACACCAACCCACUCAUGAGGGAUCCGUUCUUACAACCUUAUCAUCCUCCCAAAGCCUCACCUCUGAAUCCCGUAUCACACUGGAAUUAAGGCUUCCACCUAGGAGUGGUUGGGACACAAAUAUUCAAUCCAUAAUAUCUUAUAAUCAAUGGCAUUUAGGCUUAAUAAUAUUUAAUUGUAUAUGUGAUUUUAAAAUUUGAUUGUAAAAUAGAAAUAUUAAGACCUGGCAUCUGAUAUUUAAUAAUCGCUUCACAUGGAUACCGUUAUCUCCUGACCUAAGAUCACACCAUUUAUAGGAACAGUAGGACUCGCAUUAUUUCUCCAUGACACCAGAUCCCUGCUGCCCACCACCAAACAGAUGAACAGAGAGUUGAAACAUUGUGAAAUUUCCACAGUCUGUGCACCGGACCUCUUCCUUUGAGCUCUAACACAGAGUCUGCUACAGUUCAGUGUCCCCUGGAUAUCUCCUUCCUUACCAGAUCCAGUGUUCAACUAGCUACCCAGAAAGCAAGGCUAGAAUGCAGAAUGUGCAGCUGCCCCCUGGGAUGGCAAAUUGAGGAACAGAAAGUGUAAGCAAUGGCAGAAGCGCUUCAUGAUUUUCAGACCAGCCUCCUCCUGGGAAACCCAUUCUCUGGUGACUGUCCCAAAGGAAGAGAUUUGUCUGCUUGAAGAAAGGCAUCCUUUUGGUCCUGAUGUCUCUGAGAAUACAUAAGGCAACACCCUGUGGUGUAGAGCAAUAGACCAACCCUCCACAAGUGACCUGGAGCACCCAGAUACAAACAAGGAAAGGGAUUUAAAGAAAGAGACAAAUUGGUCUUUAAUUGGAAGGGGAGUGAGCCAGGUCAGUGCCGCAUUCCCUGGAACAGCGGAUCCUCCAAGGACAUGCCUCCGCUCUCAAAGAGAUAAGGCCUUGGAAGCUGUUGUGGGAUGGAGCUCUCUGUGGUAUGUAGGAGUCUGAGACAUGGAAGAGGAGCCAAGAAACCAAGACACGCUUUGCUACAUCUCUUAGACAGUCCAGUAUGUGUUUGCUGAAGGAGAAAUAGAAACUGACUAGAAAAACAGCCUGGAUAUCAUUGAAUAAACAGCAAAGGACAGUGGACCAGGCAUAGUCCCUAAAAUACAAGACAGAUCCAAAUGGCACUCAGCAGAAAUCCUAGAAUCCCAUUUUUUCC
Molecule: non-coding RNA, 1180 nt
Organism: Ictidomys tridecemlineatus (thirteen-lined ground squirrel)
Lineage: Eukaryota; Metazoa; Chordata; Mammalia; Rodentia; Sciuridae
Source: RefSeq, a predicted model, not a curated record